AUGGAGCUCGUCCAGGAGCUCGUCGACCACCGGAAUAGGAAACUUGUCCUUGAGCGUCAGGGCAUUAAGAGCGCGGUAGUCGAUGCAGAAGCGCCACGUGUCGUCCGACUUGCGGACGAGGAGGACCGGCGCCGAAAAUGGCGACGUGGACAUCCGGAUGAUGCCCAAGGCGAGCAUGAGCAUGCACUGCCGCUCCAGCUCGUCCUUCUGCAGCUGGGGAUAGCGGUAGGGGCGCACUACAACCGGCGCCGUGCCCGGCAGGAGAUGAAUGCGGUGAUCAUACACCCGGGCUGGCGGAAGGCCCUGAAGCUCGUCGAAGAGGUCGCGGUGCUGCUACAGGAGGUGAUCCAGCAAGGGAUGCUCGAGCUCGGUGGCGGCCGCGGCCAGCUGAAGCUGCGGCGUCGCUGGAGAUGCGCCAUCCACGCCCUCCCACCGGACGCGGCGACCCUGGCGCCAGAAGGUCAUCGUCAGGGCGUUGAAGUCCCAGAGGAUGGGACCAAGGGUCCGCAAGAAGUCAACGCCGAGGAUGAAGUCGAAGCAGCCCAAGUCGAUGCCCACACACGUGAUGGUGAAGUGCUUGUCGCCGAUAGUGAUGGGCACGUUCCGUGCCAGCCCAUGACACCGGAGGCGGUCGCCAUUAGCCACCGUGACCCAAAGUUGCUCCCCGCCCGUCGGCUGAAGCGCUAA
This 687-nucleotide ribosomal RNA is filed under the name Triticum aestivum (bread wheat). RNAcentral describes it as "partial small subunit ribosomal RNA". Lineage: Eukaryota; Viridiplantae; Streptophyta; Magnoliopsida; Poales; Poaceae. The record is from RNAcentral.